ACUCUGCUUCAGCUCACCCUCCAUGGGCUGCACUCACCUUCCAACCAGUCUCAAUGAGAUGAACCAGGUACCUCAGUUGGAAAUGCAGAAAUCACCCGUCUUCUGCGUCAAUCACGCUGAGAACUGCAGACCAGAGCUGUUCCUAUUUGGCCAUCUUGGAACCGGUCUGAGUCUGUUUUAGCCAGAUCAAGUACUUGCAGACACUUGAAGAAGCAUCUUUCUUGUGAUCUCCUGGCUGGUACCCUGAAGUCCUGUUAUGCCAAUGGACCAGCAACCCUCGCAGAUAUGUAUUCUGCAAUCAUGACCAAACAGAAGGACUAAAUCUGGAUCAGAAUCUGAAAUGUAAAAAGGCUACUUGUCAACCACGCCAUUGUUUUCCGUUGGAGCUAGCAGAGCAGCCUCGGCUGCACAUUCCUGGGACGUGAAUAAUAUCGGUUGUGAUUACACUUCAGUAUCUCAUCCAUUACCAGCCCUGUGAACACUGAAUAUAACCUAAUUAGGAAAUGCGAAGGGCCCUUUGCUAGGGAUGAGUGCUGGGGCAGCAGAGGUCCACAUGCCUUCCCGACACAGGGAUUCACCG
Molecule: long non-coding RNA, 580 nt
Filed under: Homo sapiens (human)
Lineage: Eukaryota; Metazoa; Chordata; Mammalia; Primates; Hominidae
Description: non-protein coding lnc-RMDN2-3:19
Source: RNAcentral